This 253-nucleotide ribosomal RNA is filed under the name uncultured bacterium. RNAcentral describes it as "partial 16S ribosomal RNA". It matches the Rfam family "Bacterial small subunit ribosomal RNA", at positions 524 to 776 of the family's 1533-position model. The record is from RNAcentral.
UACGAAGGGGGCUAGCGUUGUUCGGAAUUACUGGGCGUAAAGGGCGCGUAGGCUGUGCUGUAAGUCAGGUGUGAAAUCUCGGGGCUUAACUCCGAAACUGCAUUUGAUACUGCGGUGCUUGAGGACUGGAGAGGAGACUGGAAUUUACGGUGUAGCAGUGAAAUGCGUAGAGAUCGUAAGGAAGACCAGUGGCGAAGGCGGGUCUCUGGACAGUUCCUGACACUGAGGCACGAAGGCCAGGGGAGCAAACGGG